GUAGGAGAGCGUUCUAAGGGCGUUGAAGCAUGAUCGUAAGGACAUGUGGAGCGCUUAGAAGUGAGAAUGCCGGUGUGAGUAGCGAAAGACGGGUGAGAAUCCCGUCCACCGAUUGACUAAGGUUUCCAGAGGAAGGCUCGUCCGCUCUGGGUUAGUCGGGUCCUAAGCUGAGGCCGACAGGCGUAGGCGAUGGAUAACAGGUUGAUAUUCCUGUACCACCUAUAAUCGUUUUAAUCGAUGGGGGGACGCAGUAGGAUAGGCGAAGCGUGCGAUUGGAUUGCACGUCUAAGCAGUAAGGCUGAGUAUUAGGCAAAUCCGGUACUCGUUAAGGCUGAGCUGUGAUGGGGAGAAGACAUUGUGUCUUCGAGUCGUUGAUUUCACACUGCCGAGAAAAGCCUCUAGAUAGAAAAUAGGUGCCCGUACCGCAAACCGACACAGGUAGUCAAGAUGAGAAUUCUAAGGUGAGCGAGCGAACUCUCGUUAAGGAACUCGGCAAAAUGACCCCGUAACUUCGGGAGAAGGGGUGCUCUUUAGGGUUAACGCCCAGAAGAGCCGCAGUGAAUAGGCCCAAGCGACUGUUUAUCAAAAACACAGGUCUCUGCUAAACCGUAAGGUGAUGUAUAGGGGCUGACGCCUGCCCGGUGCUGGAAGGUUAAGAGGAGUGGUUAGCUUCUGCGAAGCUACGAAUCGAAGCCCCAGUAAACGGCGGCCGUAACUAUAACGGUCCUAAGGUAGCGAAAUUCCUUGUCGGGUAAGUUCCGACCCGCACGAAAGGCGUAACGAUUUGGGCACUGUCUCAACGAGAGACUCGGUGAAAUCAUAGUACCUGUGAAGAUGCAGGUUACCCGCGACAGGACGGAAAGACCCCGUGGAGCUUUACUGUAGCCUGAUAUUGAAAUUCGGCACAGCUUGUACAGGAUAGGUAGGAGCCUUUGAAACGUGAGCGCUAGCUUACGUGGAGGCGCUGGUGGG
RNAcentral lists this ribosomal RNA (972 nucleotides) under Staphylococcus aureus. RNAcentral describes it as "partial 23S ribosomal RNA". It matches the Rfam family "Bacterial large subunit ribosomal RNA", at positions 1228 to 2196 of the family's 2925-position model. The record is from RNAcentral. Lineage: Bacteria; Bacillati; Bacillota; Bacilli; Caryophanales; Staphylococcaceae.